Molecule: ribosomal RNA, 467 nt
Filed under: uncultured bacterium
Lineage: Bacteria
Description: partial 16S ribosomal RNA
Rfam family: Bacterial small subunit ribosomal RNA
Source: RNAcentral
ACGAACGCUGGCGGCGUGCUUAACACAUGCCAGUCGAACGGAAAGGCCCUGCUUUUGUGGGGUGCUCGAGUGGCGAACGGGUGAGUAACACGUGAGUAACCUGCCCUUGACUUUGGGAUAACUUCAGGAAACUGGGGCUAAUACCGGAUAGGAGCUCCUGCUGCAUGGUGGGGGUUGGAAAGUUUCGGCGGUUGGGGAUGGACUCGCGGCUUAUCAGCUUGUUGGUGGGGUAGUGGCUUACCAAGGCUUUGACGGGUAGCCGGCCCGAGAGGGUGACCGGCCACAUUGGGACUGAGAUACGGCCCAGACUCCUACGGGAGGCAGCAGUGGGGAAUAUUGCACAAUGGGCGGAAGCCUGAUGCAGCAACGCCGCGUGCGGGAUGACGGCCUUCGGGUUGUAAACCGCUUUCGCCUGUGACGAAGCGUGAGUGACGGUAAUGGGUAAAGAAGCACCGGCUAACUACGUG